RNAcentral lists this ribosomal RNA (442 nucleotides) under uncultured eukaryote. RNAcentral's name for it is "bacterial SSU rRNA". It matches the Rfam family "Eukaryotic small subunit ribosomal RNA", at positions 592 to 1018 of the family's 1831-position model. The record is from RNAcentral.
CAAUAGCGUAUAUUAAAGUUGUUGCAGUUCAAAAGCUCGUAGUUGGAUUUCUGGUUUGAUGCCCUGGCCCGCUGCUAUUUUAGUAGUGUGUGCCGGUUGUGCGUCUGCCAUCCUCUCAGGGAACGUUCCUUCUCUUCACUGAGCCGGGUUCGUGAUCUAGAUCGUUUACUUUGAAAAAUUAGAGUGUUUAAAGCAGGCUUUUGCUAUGAAUACAUUAGCAUGGAAUAAUAAUCUAGGACUUCGGUGCUAUUUGUUUGGUUUCUUGGAACUGAAGUAAUGAUUGAUAGGGAGUAGUUGGGGGUUGGCGUAGUAUUGUAGCGGCCGAGAGGUGGAAAUUACUUGGUAUUCGUCUCAAGACUAACUUAUGCGAAAGACAUUCACCAAGGAUGUCUUCUUUAAUUCAAGAACGAAAGUUGGGGGAUCGAAGACGAUCAGAUACCAU